AACGUAGGAGACGAGCGUUAUCCGGAGUUACUGGGCGUAAAGGGCGUGCAGGCGGUUAGUUAAGUCAGAUGUGAAAGCUCCCGGCUAAACCGGGAGAGGUCGUCUGAUACUGGCUGACUCGAGGACGGUAGAGGCGUGUGGAAUUCCGGGUGUAGUGGUGAAAUGCGUAGAUAUCCGGAGGAACACCAGAGGCGAAGGCGACACGCUGGGCCGUACCUGACGCUAAGACGCGAGAGCAUGGGGAGCAAACGGG
This 253-nucleotide ribosomal RNA is filed under the name uncultured bacterium. RNAcentral's name for it is "partial 16S ribosomal RNA". It matches the Rfam family "Bacterial small subunit ribosomal RNA", at positions 524 to 776 of the family's 1533-position model. The record is from RNAcentral.